UUGACCUCAUAGUUAAAACCUGGUAAUGUGGUUCACUCAUAAAUCAACUGUUUUUCCUUGCAGAAAACUCAAACAUAAGUCUAAGGAUGGUCUGUCUACCAUGAGCUCAUCUAAUCCACUCCAACGAGCAAAGAAAAAACACUGUUGUGUGUUUUUUCCAUCCAGCUCAGGAGAGAUGAUUCAUGCAUUGAUCAAGAAAGAAACAACCAUCCAUCAAGCUCCCUGGUUCCACAACGUAGGACAAGACACAGAGGUUUCCCACCCAGAGGAGGAAAUUUUAGUGUACAUUGACUGCUGUCAGUUGAUAAGCAAUUGUUCUUUCAUCCUCAAAAGAGAAAAAAAAAAUCUGUAGCUAUUAAUUAGUGUAUGGCAAGAUUGAUUAAGCAAUGCAGUGUCAAUUAACACAUUUAAUGUGGAGGAAGAUGAUAUCCA
RNAcentral lists this long non-coding RNA (432 nucleotides) under Felis catus (domestic cat). Its description in RNAcentral is "lncRNA (ENSFCAG00000043398.2)". The record is from RNAcentral. Lineage: Eukaryota; Metazoa; Chordata; Mammalia; Carnivora; Felidae.